GACGAACGCUGGCGGCGUGCUUAACACAUGCAAGUCGAACGGAAAGGCCCGGCGCUUGUGGCGUUCUCGAGUGGCGAACGGGGGAGUAACACGCGAGGAACCUGCACUUGACUUUGGGAGAACUUCAGGAAACUGGGGCGAAUAUCGGGGAGGAGCUCCUGCUGCGUGUGGGGGGUUGGAAAGUGUCGGCGGUUGUGGAUGGACUCGCUGCUUAUGAGCUUGUUGGUGAGGUAGUGGCUUACCAAGGCUUUGACGGGUAGCCGGCCUGAGAGGGUGACCGGCCACCUUGCGCCUGAGAUACGGCCCAGACUCCUACGGUCGGCAGCAGUCGAGAAUAUUGCACAAUGGGCGGAAGUCUGAUGCAGAAGCGCCGCGUGCGGGAUGCCGGCUUUCGGGUUGUAAACCACUUUCGCCUGUGACGAAGCGUAAUUGACGGUACUGAGUCAAGAAGCACCGGCUAACUACGUG
This 468-nucleotide ribosomal RNA is filed under the name uncultured bacterium. Its description in RNAcentral is "partial 16S ribosomal RNA". It matches the Rfam family "Bacterial small subunit ribosomal RNA", at positions 28 to 507 of the family's 1533-position model. The record is from RNAcentral.